CAGGUUUUAAUUUACCGUAUUUAGAACCGGUAGUUCCAUUUUUUGUUUAUCCGGCAUGUGACGUAGUAAGUUGUUAUUACCAUGACGGACAGUCGGAAAUGCCCUCCCAAGAUCCGGCAGAUCAAGUUGUAAAUAUUCUAUUAAACUUAUUCGCAACAUGAAUUUAUAUUUUUAUGUAAUUUUAAUUAGUAUUUUUUAUUAUUUAAGAAUUGCUCAUCUAUAACAAUACUUCCAUAGGUUAGAAUUUUUAUGUGAUCAUUAGGUUUACAACAAAAAUAAUAAUAAUAUUAAUUUUUAAAUAAUAUCAAUUGCAUCUCCUAUUAUUUAGAACAUAUUAUAUUUAAAAGUAAAUGUCUACAUUCUAUUAUUUCAGGAGGAAUACGUUAAAUCAGUAAUUUCCCAAGUAAAGAGUAGUAAAAUAUACCUAGUUAUACAAAUUGGAGUAUACUCUUUAAAAUCAUAUGAUGACAAAAUCAAUGUAGAUACUUACACAACUGUAAGUGCAUUACUUAUUUCAUUUUUAAAAAAUGCAGCCGCUGUUUUUAGGUGAUUGAAUGUAUACCUGAAAGCAACGCUAAACAUGGGUUACAAAAAAAAAAAAACGCAUCUGGGUGAAAAACCGAGAAAAAGAAAUGUCCGUAGUUAUUAAAUAAAAAAAAAAAGGUUACUGUUUUCAUGUGAACAACUUAUCUACAAGCAAUUUCGCUUCAAAUUAUAAUAAUAGCAAAUUUUCUAAUUAAAAAAUAUGGAUAGAAACGUUCUUUAAAAAUGUCAUUUUUCGAUUCAAUUCCAGGUUAAUGUAAAAAUUCGUGGAAAAUAGAUAUAAUGCUAAACAAAAUAUGAAGUUAAAAUAAAUUUAAUAUAUUGUCUGUUUCAUUAUUUUACCAUAAUAUGACGGAUAUAUUGUUGACAAAGCAUCAGUGUCAACUGAAUUUCGCUUAGAAUCGUUUUAUUUUGUUAGCAAUGGUAUAUUGUUGCUUACAGGUAUAGAUUACUUAAGGGUUAUAAGUUAUAAUAUAUCAUAAGGUAUAAUAAUUUCUGCACCCAACCCAAUUAUCCUGGGACGUCUUUUUGUUUUCAGUUUUGUUCAGGAAAACCGAGUAAAUAUCGACGAUUCUGCAUAGAU
Cinara cedri is the source of this 1126-nucleotide non-coding RNA. NCBI's taxonomy places the organism in Eukaryota, Metazoa, Arthropoda, Insecta, Hemiptera, Aphididae. The record is from the annotation of a GenBank genome assembly.